AAGAGAGGUAUGACAACAACAAGAACUGCUAAUUCUUUAUCCCUGGGUUUAAUUCCCUGGCUCACUUG
Molecule: transfer RNA, 68 nt
Filed under: Cynoglossus melampetalus
Lineage: Eukaryota; Metazoa; Chordata; Actinopteri; Pleuronectiformes; Cynoglossidae
Description: tRNA-Ser
Source: RNAcentral